Molecule: ribosomal RNA, 513 nt
Filed under: uncultured bacterium
Lineage: Bacteria
Description: bacterial SSU rRNA
Rfam family: Bacterial small subunit ribosomal RNA
Source: RNAcentral
AGAGUUUGAUCAUGGCUCAGGAUGAACGCUAGCUACAGGCUUAACACAUGCAAGUCGAGGGGUAGCAGGGUAGCAAUACCGCUGACGACCGGCGCACGGGUGAGUAACACGUAUCCAACCUUCCCAUAACUCAGGGAUAGCCUUUCGAAAGAAAGAUUAAUACCUGAUAGUACUUUUUCAAGGCAUCUUGAGAAAGUUAAAGAUUUAUUGGUUAUGGAUGGGGAUGCGUUCCAUUAGAUAGUUGGUGAGGUAACGGCUCACCAAGUCUUCGAUGGAUAGGGGUUCUGAGAGGAAGGUCCCCCACAUUGGUACUGAGACGCGGACCAAACUCCUACGGGAGGCAGCAGUGAGGAAUAUUGGUCAAUGGGCGAGAGCCUGAACCAGCCAAGUAGCGUGAAGGAUGAAGGUCCUAUGGAUUGUAAACUUCUUUUAUAGUAGAAUAAAGUGAUCCACGUGUGGAUUUUUGUAUGUAUACUAUGAAUAAGGAUCGGCUAACUCCGUGCCAGCCGCAGC